UCCUAUGGUAGUAGUAUGGACUCCUACUACUCAUUUACAUACAAUUUCGACUAUUCUCAACUCUAACUACUCCUAUUUAUUACAAUGCUAAGUAGUUCAUCUUCAAAACUAACACUAAGGAUAAAAGUUGAGCAUUUGUAACUCAUCCUUCCACCUCUUACAUUUCCUAUUCUUUGCAUGUAUUAAUAUUGCUAUCUCCUUACAACACUGAUCUUCAUCAAAUCUCUUGUCUUCAAAUCUGCUUAAAUUUCGACUUCUCCACAGCAAUGCAACAGUGGUUACAAAUGCUGUGGCAGUGAUGGCUUGUUUCCAGUUUUUGCUUUUGAC
RNAcentral lists this long non-coding RNA (327 nucleotides) under Nicotiana benthamiana. RNAcentral describes it as "long non-coding RNA (NBEN_LNC039622)". The record is from RNAcentral. Lineage: Eukaryota; Viridiplantae; Streptophyta; Magnoliopsida; Solanales; Solanaceae.